Molecule: ribosomal RNA, 253 nt
Filed under: uncultured bacterium
Lineage: Bacteria
Description: partial 16S ribosomal RNA
Rfam family: Bacterial small subunit ribosomal RNA
Source: RNAcentral
UACGAAGGGGGCUAGCGUUGCUCGGAAUCACUGGGCGUAAAGCGCACGUAGGCGGAUCUUUAAGUCAGGGGUGAAAUCCUGGAGCUCAACUCCAGAACUGCCUUUGAUACUGAGGAUCUCGAGUCCGGGAGAGGUGAGUGGAACUCCGAGUGUAGAGGUGAAAUUCGUAGAUAUUCGGAAGAACACCAGUGGCGAAGGCGGCUCACUGGCCCGGUACUGACGCUGAGGUGCGAAAGCGUGGGGAGCAAACAGG